AAAGCUCUUUGUUUUUUGAAAGGGUGCUUUUAUGAGAUAGAGCUUUUUUAGAUAAUGCUUUUUUAGAUAAUGCUGGGGAAGGUUUUCCGGUUUAUCUCGGAGGGCUUGUAGCUCAGUUGGUUAGAGCGCGCGCUUGAUAAGCGUGAGGUCGGAGGUUCAAGUCCUCCCAGGCCCACCAAUUUACCUAUCCAUUUGCCUUUAUCUGUUUAUUUGCCGAUUUAUCGGUCCAUUGAAUUUAAGUGUUGGUAGCAGUUUUAUAAUGAUGAGAAAUCAUGCUUAUAAAAGAAUUCCUUAUAAAAGGCUUGUUUUUAAAAUGUGACGCUUAUCCAUUUCGCUUAGGCAAAAGAAACUUCAAGCGGUCAAAUGCAAAAGGCUUUAAAUUUUGCAAAACACUUUGAAUUUUAAAGUGAUCCAAGUUCGUGAUCUCGAAUUUAAAAGUUUCAAAUGCUUUAUCCUUUUUUGGGGGCCGUAGCUCAGCUGGGAGAGCACCUGCUUUGCAAGCAGGGGGCGUCGGUUCAAAUAUUUUAGGGGCCGUAGCUCAGCUGGGAGAGCACCUGCUUUGCAAG
This 566-nucleotide unclassified non-coding RNA is filed under the name uncultured Bartonella sp. RNAcentral's name for it is "partial 16S-23S ribosomal RNA intergenic spacer". The stretch from base 102 to 175 matches the Rfam family "tRNA". Lineage: Bacteria; Pseudomonadati; Pseudomonadota; Alphaproteobacteria; Hyphomicrobiales; Bartonellaceae. The record is from RNAcentral.